CCAAUGAACAUUGGACACGUGUACGGCUCUAAUGCUCACCGCUCGUGUUCUUUCUUAUUAUCGGCGGGACAGAGCAGCAGGAACAUUGAGAAACCAGAGUAGUUUUCUUCACUCUAUACUCCAAUAUUAACAAUCAACCGUGUUCCUCGACAGGUCUCUCACUUUGUUUCCUCCUUGUUGCAAUCAUGAAAAAAGAGCUGCUGAUCCGUUUCUUUUCAGAAUCGGUCUUCCUGCGUUCGAUUUCUAUCCGCUCUCUACUUCUAUUUUGGGCAGUCAAAAGAGAGAGAUUCCUGAUGUUGUGGCUGCGUAUGUGUAUUCAUGGUCAUGAAGCUAGUUUUUAAUCUGAUAUUGUGAUUGAAUUUUAAUUGAACAAACAAUAAAAUUUAAUUGUAAAUUAUUAGGAAUGAUUUAUAUUUAUUUUUGCUUCUUUAUCAUUUGUACUUUUGUAGUUCCAUGGAUGGGUUCCGUCUAUGUUGUUUCGAGCUUGAUGCAAUGGAGGCUAAGCUUGCUUCAUGGUCGUUUGCUUUUGUUUUUGAAACUUUUUCAGAUGUAUCUCAGUGUCAGCUAUCACUCUUGCAUUAUAGCUUACUGGGGAAGCCCAUGCCAGAAGGGGAGUCGAGCUUGAUUUUAUUUUUUCACAUCUAAACCCAGCAUUCAAGUUUUGGUUCUUUUGCGGGUGAAUCAGCUUCAUGGACAUUUGCCCCAACCCUAUUGCCUAGAUGUCUGGAGAAGUUGAGGAAAGAGGUGAAUGACCUUUGGUGUUGUGAACCUGGUUUAACGCAUCUGGAAAUGGUUAGUGGAGAAUACCUUAUCUGGAAAUGGUACGUGUUUCUGAUUAAUGAUAAACUUUUCAGUGAUCAGUUUAUGCACCAUCUUUGGAUCAUGGUGUUGGAGAUCCAGAAGAAGAUGGAUGUCUUUGUGAGCCUUCAGCAUAUAAAGUGGUCAUAGUUGAAGGAAAUUAUCUAUUGUUGGAAGAUGGGGCUCGGAAGGAUGUGUCUUCAAUGUUCGAUGAGAAAUUAAGCGUUAUGUUCUUGCUAGGCUAGGACGUGUCUUCAAUGUUUGAUGAGAAAUGGUAAGUGUUUAUGUUCUUGCUAGGCUAUUUUCCUUCUCUAUUUUGUCGUGGAGCAGAUAUAUAUGCUGAGUAUUCAUGCCAGAUUUUUUUCAUUAGUGUUAUUUUCCCUAGUUUUUACACGUCUGACAGGGCUGGCAUGUAGCAAUAAUGUUGAGAGCUGUAUCAUGCUUAAGGGCAACUUUACAUUCUUAAGUUCUGCUUCCGAGAGCUUUUCUCACGUGGUUCAAAUCAGUGUUUCAAAAUCUGUUUUCUGAAUGUCCUCUCUUGGCACGAGACAGAAUUUCAGGGUCACUUUGAACCUUGUAUCUUUACAUUGGAUUAUCGUCUCAUGAUGCUGUCCAUGCCAGAACAUGGAAUCAAAAGUGCAAGAAAAUGAAGAUUAAGUCUGGAAGUUAGAUAUACAACGAUACACACUGUUGGGAUGCAACAUAGUCUUUAGAUCACAAUGUGUUGCGAACCUGCAGUCCAAUUCAGUUAACAUCAUCUUGGGUUCGUGCUGCUGUUGGGAUUAGUAAUUGCUGUUUCCCUUGCUUUGCUAAUUUAUGAAACCAGACGUGAGCAAUUGGCACUUAAUUCUUACAGGUAAUACACUUAAUGAAAACGUCCGAUCACUAACUUUUUUCCACAUCUUUUCAACUCCCCUUUCAACACACAAGAUUUUCCUAUAGGAUAGAAUUGUAUAGACUGUUAUGAGCAGAUGAUAACUUUAACUUGAACGUUUUGAGGUUGGGUGAAUUGCUUGCACCAUCUUGGAAAUGUGCCCCAUCUUCACAGCAAGCCACUUUUAUCUCUUCUGUUUUUUUUUUUUUAAGGUUUAUUGAUGUGGACAUUGAUACAGGAAGACAUAUAGUUUUAAAGAGACACAUUUCAAAAGGCAUGGGCUCAUUUUCUGUUUUUACUGGUUACUGCUCCUACAGUUCUACUAGGGAAAGGAAAGAAAGUCUUGUGAUUUUAAUUCUAUGUUGUCUAACAGGAAAGCCUCCAGAUGUUUCAAAAUGGCGGAUAGUACAACGACCAGCGUAAUGCAGAGCUGAUUAUCAAGUCAAAGAAAAAUGCAGAUUUAGUAAUCAGGCUGCAUAAUGUUGCCUGAGACAAGUCGGAACAUGGUCUGGGGGCUGCAUGACAUGUUGCUUGAAUGCAUUGGAAAAGCCAUUCAUAUCCCACGAAGUCGGGCUAAUUUCUCCUCCAAGAACAAAAGACGAUGGCAGAUUGGUGUCCAGAUUUCCAAACAACAAAAGCCGAAGAUUACGUGUGGUGUGGUUUACGGGUAACUUGAUUAUUUUCUUAGGGUAUCAGAUUAUUUGGAUGUGAAAGGAGUAUGCUCCCAUAGUACCUUUUUGUAUCUUGAAACAUUCUUCACCGUUAUCAGCUUGAUGUGCAGUUUCAUGGCUACCCUGUUCGUCACUAA
Populus nigra (black poplar) is the source of this 2480-nucleotide long non-coding RNA. RefSeq lists it as uncharacterized. NCBI's taxonomy places the organism in Eukaryota, Viridiplantae, Streptophyta, Magnoliopsida, Malpighiales, Salicaceae. The record is from RefSeq and is a predicted model, not a curated record. The transcript has 5 exons.